This 271-nucleotide ribosomal RNA is filed under the name uncultured bacterium. Its description in RNAcentral is "partial 16S ribosomal RNA". It matches the Rfam family "Bacterial small subunit ribosomal RNA", at positions 524 to 793 of the family's 1533-position model. The record is from RNAcentral.
UACAGAGGUGGCAAGCGUUGUUCGGAAUUACUGGGCGUAAAGGGCGCGUAGGCGGUCUUGUAAGUCUUGUGUGAAAUCCCUCGGCUUAACUGAGGAACUGCACGGGAUACUGCGAGACUUGAGAUCGGGAGAGGGAAGCGGAAUUCCGGGUGUAGCGGUGAAAUGCGCAGAUAUCAGGAAGAACACCCGUGGCGAAGGCGGCUCUCUGGGACGGUACUGACGGCUGAGACGCGAAAGCGUGGGAGCGAACAGGAUUAGAAACCCUUGGUAA